GGGGAUUUAGCUCAGUGGUAGAGCGCUUGCCUAGCAAGCGCAAGGCCCUGGGUUCGGACCUCAGCUCUCCCCA
Rattus norvegicus (Norway rat) is the source of this 73-nucleotide non-coding RNA. NCBI's taxonomy places the organism in Eukaryota, Metazoa, Chordata, Mammalia, Rodentia, Muridae. The record is from Rfam.